This 452-nucleotide long non-coding RNA is filed under the name Equus caballus (horse). RNAcentral describes it as "lncRNA (ENSECAG00000052676.1)". Lineage: Eukaryota; Metazoa; Chordata; Mammalia; Perissodactyla; Equidae. The record is from RNAcentral.
CACAGCUUUUAUCUCACUUCUUGAGACGCGUCCAUGCUGCCACACUCUCGCCCGUGGCUUCCAGAGGAGUGAGGACGGAGGGAAAGGAGAGGACCCACGCUCGAUGGAUCUUUUCCUUUUCUCCUGUCGUCAUUCAGUCCCCGACAGCGUGGGAGGAAGGCGACAUCACCCACUUGGCGGAGGAGGAAACUGAGGCCAGAGGCUGGAAGGGACUCACAAAGGCCACCAACGAGGGACAGGCCGAUGGACGCAGCCCUGGACUGCGGGUCGGCAGUGAGGGGACAGGCCAUCUUGUCUCCAUCAGCAGAGGGUGUGUCUGGAUGCAGCCAGACCAGAGGAUUUGGAAGUGAGAGAUGGAAGAGAGAGAAACCAGGUCCUGGGGAGAAUAUGAGGACCCCUGGAUGAAGCCAUGCCUGAAUCUGGAAAUCUCUGUGGACUUUUCAGUUACUGUG